UAGAUAGUCAAGUUCUGAUCCAG
This 23-nucleotide non-coding RNA is filed under the name Cricetulus griseus (Chinese hamster). Lineage: Eukaryota; Metazoa; Chordata; Mammalia; Rodentia; Cricetidae. RNAcentral also lists the same sequence under 1 other name. The record is from RNAcentral.